GACGAACGCUGGCGGCGUGCUUAACACAUGCAAGUCGAACGGAAAGGCCCUGCUUUUGUUGGGUGCUCGAGUGGCGAACGGGUGAGUAACACGUGAGUAACCUGCCCUUUACUUUGGGAUAACUUCAGGAAACUGGGGCUCAUACCGGAUAGGAUCUCCUGCUGCAUGGUGGGGGAUGGAAAGUUUCGGCGGUUGGGGCUGGACUCGCGGCUUAUCAGCUUGUUGGUGGGGUAGUGGCUUACCAAGCCUUUGACGGGUAGCCGGCCUGAGAGGGUUACCGGAGACAUUGGGACUGAGAUACGGCCCAGACUCGUACGGUAGGCAGCAGGGGGGAAUAUGGCACAAUGGGCGGAAGCCUGAGGCAGCAACGCCGCGUGCGGGAUGACGGCCUUCGGGGUGUAAACCGCUUUCGCCUGUGACGAAGCGUGAGUGACGGUAAUGGGUAAAGAAGCACCGGCUAACUACGUG
This 468-nucleotide ribosomal RNA is filed under the name uncultured bacterium. RNAcentral's name for it is "partial 16S ribosomal RNA". It matches the Rfam family "Bacterial small subunit ribosomal RNA", at positions 28 to 507 of the family's 1533-position model. The record is from RNAcentral.